Trifolium pratense (red clover) is the source of this 584-nucleotide long non-coding RNA. RefSeq lists it as uncharacterized. The record is from RefSeq and is a predicted model, not a curated record. The transcript has 4 exons. NCBI's taxonomy places the organism in Eukaryota, Viridiplantae, Streptophyta, Magnoliopsida, Fabales, Fabaceae.
UUAAAUGCUAUCAGUACCUUUGAAAAAGAAAGAAAUUAGCGGGAAGGCUGAUACGAUCAGGAUCGAACUGUAACUCCGCUGCUACUGCCUCCGCUUCGCGUCUUGGUCCCUGGCGCAUGAAAAGUGAAUUCUUGCUUGAGAAUGUCAUAAGUGAAUGCAGUUGUUAGCUGGGUAAUGUUAUUGCUAAUUGAAAGAAAUUGCCAGUUGAUACGUGAUAUUCCUGAGGAAAUCAAGACAUUGGCUGUUUAUGGUGAUCAAUUGAGAAUUCAACAAGUGUUGGCUGGUUUCUUAAUGAAUGUGGUGCGCUAUGCACCAUCUCCAGAUUGUUGGGUAGAGAUUCAUGUAAAUGGUUGGGUAGAGAUUCAUGUAUUUCCAUGAAUAAAACAAAUUUCAGGAGGGCUCAUUAGUCAUUCCCGAGUAUCAAGCUCAGCUUCAGAAGAAUUUGAUGUAUUUAGCUGCAAUGCCUGAUGAGCAGCCACAAACACCAGCCUUGCCUCCACAGAUGUCCCCUCACCCUUCGAUGCAACAAGGAUUCUAUAUGCGAGAUCCUCAGACUGCAGCAAUGGCUCAACAACAAGGAGAAG